Quercus robur (English oak) is the source of this 4363-nucleotide long non-coding RNA. RefSeq lists it as uncharacterized. The record is from RefSeq and is a predicted model, not a curated record. NCBI's taxonomy places the organism in Eukaryota, Viridiplantae, Streptophyta, Magnoliopsida, Fagales, Fagaceae. The transcript is spliced from 2 exons.
GUUUAGUGCAGCUACCUUACCGUUUAGGCUCUGUACCUUUUUUACGGUCUUUGGCAGGACUAACUCCAUUAUGACCUGUAUCUUAUCCAGGUUGACCUCAAUACCCCUUUGGGAUACCAUGAACCCCAGGAAUUUUCCUGCCAUCACCCCAAACGCACACUUGCUUGGGUUUAGUUUCAUGUUAUAAGAUCGGAGGGUGUCAAAGGUCUCUUAGAGGUCAUUCUAGUGGUCGUCCUCUCAUAUACUCUUUACCAACAUGUUGUCCACAUAAACUUGCACAUUCCUCCCAAUCUGAUGUGCAAACAUUUUGUUCAUCAGCCUUUGAUAUGUAGCGCUUGCGUUCUUGAGCCUAAACAGCAUCACUUUGUAACAGAAGAAGCCUUAGCUGGUGACAAAUGAAGUCUUCUCUUGGUUGGCCUUGUCCAGCUUGAUCUGGUUGUAACCAGAGAACGUGCCCAUGAACUUAGUAGCUAGUGUCUUGCUAUUGAGUCCACCAAGAUGUCAAUCCUCAAGAAAGGAUAGCUGUCCUUGGGGCAAGCCUUGUUUAGGUCUGUGAAGUCCACACACAUCCUCAAUUUUCCAUUGGCUUUCUUAACCAUCACCACGUUGGCCAACCAAUCAGGGUAGUACACUUCUCGUAUGAAGUUUGCUUCCUGUAAUUUGCGAACCUCUUUUGCUAUGGCCUUGUCGCACUCCUGCGCGUUCACAUGUUUUUUCUGGCAUAUGGGAGAAAAAGAGGGAGACACAUUUAACCUGUGGACUAUGAUAGAUGGAUUAAUUCCAAGCAUGUCCUCAUGGCUUCCGGCGAACACGUCCUAGUUUUCCCUUAGAAAUGUCAUCAAUGCUUGCCUGUCUGGUAGGCUAGCCAGAGUGCUAAUUCUGGUAAUCCGUUUAGGCUUAAAGUCAUCAAGGAGAACUUCUUCCAAUCCUUCCACUGGUUCUGCCACCGUCUACUAUUCCUCUAUAUACAUAGUCUGCAAAUGAUCGUCCAUUUCCAACAUAGCAAUGUAGCAUUCACGUGCCGCUACUUGAUCUCCUCGUACCUCUCCUACUCUAUACUCUGUUGGGAACUUGAUCAUCAAAUGGUAAGUUGAAGUUAUGGCCUUCCAUGAAUUCAAAGUAGAACAACCUAAUAUGACAUUGUAAGCGGAUAAACAGUCUACAACCAGGAACGUGAUAUCCCUGGUAAUCUGCUGUAGGUAAUCUCCGACUAUUACGGACAAAGUAACUACUCCUAGGGGGUGUGCCCUUGUUCCUUCGAAUCCGACAAGUGGCGCGUUAACAAGAAUCAGUCAUUCCCUAUUAAUCCUCAUCUGCUGGAAUGCUAGGUAGUAGAGGAUGUCAGCAAAGCUCCCAUUAUCUGCUCCCUAACCACGAGUGCAUCGUCGUGUGAGUGGUGGAGACGCCUUGCAUCUUCCUCUAUAAACCUAAUGACAGGGUUGUCAAUCCGUGCCAUCUUCGGGACGAAUCCCAUCAACUGGACAUUUUGAACCAUCCGUAGGUAGGUUUUACGUGCCUUCUUGGACAAGCCAAAUGUUAUGGUUCCCUCUACGAUCAUCCUUAUGUCUCCUAGUGGGGGUUUGGGAUGCUCAUUUUCUCUCCGGGUAGGUGGUUCUUGGGGCUGGUCCGUCCUUUCCUUACGGAUGAAUCUUUGCAACUUCCCUUGCCUAAUAAAAGCUUCUAUCUACUGCUUUAAGUCAUAGCAAUCAGAUGUGUCAUGACCGUGGUCACGGUGGAAACGACAGUACUUGUCUUUGGACCUCUUGCUAGGGUCUCCCUUCAACUUGCCAAGGAAUGUUAGAACUCCUUCGUCCUUGAUUUGCAUAAGGACUUGAUUAAUUGGAGUGUUUAGUAGGGUGAAGCUUGCGAACCUUCUGGUAGGAGGCUUAGAGCACCUAUCUUCCCUCCUAUCUCCUGUCCUUGCUAUCUUUUGCCCCCUGUCCUAUUAUGAUUCCUCCUGUCUUUCUCUCUUUUUAGGCUUCUUUUUGCGAGCCAACAGUGCGUCCUCUGCGUUCAUGUACUUAGUAGCCUUGUAAAGUGCAUCCAACAUAGUCUUUAGGUCAUUUUUGUAUAAGAAAAAUAGAAACUUACCCUUCCGUAGCCCAUUCGUAAAUGCGGUCACAAGUAUCUUGUCAUUAGCUUCAUCGAUUGAGAGUGCCUCCUUGUUAAAGUGGGCUCUAUACGACCUCAUCAUCUCAUCCCCCCGUUACUUAAUGCUCAUUAGGCAUGUAGUGGAUUUCUUAUACUUGUGCCCCCUGAUAACCUGUGAGGCAAACUGGGCGCUCAACUCCUUAAAGGUACCAAUGGAGUUGGGUGUCAACCUGCUAAACCAAACCCUUGCGAGGCCCUUCAGCGCAGUGGGGAAGGCCCUGCACAUGAUCUCGUCUACCACUCUUUGCAGGUGCAUUAGUGUCUUGAAAGACUCCAGGUGAUCCAGUAGAUCCUUAGAUUCGUUGUAGCUCUCCACCUGAGGCAUACGGAACUUCGAUGGAAGGGGGAAUGAAGUGACAGAUGCGGUGAAUGGUGAAUCAGUUCAAUGGACCAAGUCAUCGAGGUCGCUAGAUACUCGUCCUUUGAGGGCGUUCAUCAUGAAGUCCAUCCGUUCCUUCAUCAUUUGCAUCUCCGCGACUAUAUGAUAUGGAACUGCAUUUACGAUGGAUGGACGGCUCGUGUCUUAUCGCUCUGGUCUACUUGCGUCAUUGCUACCUUCUGACCCCUCUUGGUCCCUUCUUUCAGCACUAGUGCCUUCUUGAUCCUCCUCCUAAGUAUUAAGCCCUGCAUUCUUCUGGCACAGUUGCUCUUUUAGAUCAUGGUUUUGCUUGGUGAGGCAUUCUACGGCAGUGGCAAGAGUCUAAACCUGUCUCUCAAGUGUGGCGGUGCGUGGUUCAUCUCCUUGAACAUUGUUGGUGGUCGCCAUUGAACGAGUAAGCAUCAUGCAACUCUUUGUCUGGGAAGCGAUUGUAUGGCUUGCAAGUUGUGCUUGUUCUUCCCUACAUAUGGUGCCAAUUGAUGAUGCCAAAAAUUGUCAGUAAGUCACACAAUCCUCACAUGCUCAAGACAACACCUACACAACAUAGAACAAGAAGACCUUAGGAGAGUACCAGUAUGGUAUCAGCCAAAGACCCUCCAAAGGUUAAGUUAGAAAGCUUCUCACAACCCUAGCGUGCCAGAGUUGGGGUGAAUUAUGCGUACCUUGAUUUCUGAAAGCUUUGGGUUUUUAUAGUAGUGUAGUAGAAUCGACUUUUGUUUCUUGGUGAAGAAGGCGUUUCCUUGUGGGGAAGAUCCUCAUAAAGCGUGCGUAUAUUACGAGAUUCUUUCCAUGUUAGGAUUACCUCAACUAGGGUUAGUUAUAAGGCGCAAGACAUUUUCAUGUAGGGUUUACCCACGUUGAGUGAGUGCCAUGUAGCCUCGAUGUUCAUCGACCUUGGGCCCAAGAACUCAGAAUCCGUCCAUAUAGAGGGACAAUCCGUCUACUAUGGAAAGGGGUCCAUUCGUCAUUUGACCUAUCUGUCCAUCGUCCCAUUUGCUACCUUAUCCCUGAAAGCUAACGAAUUCAGUACCGUCAGGUGUAUUAAAACGGAUCCGUCAUCCUUGACUUUUAUCCAGUUCAUGAAGAUUUAGGGGUUUUGACUUUUUAAUGUGAAAUAAAUGGAGAAUAUAAUUUUUAUUGAUUAUUUGGAGCUAGUUAAGAUUCUAAUUGUUGUCUUGGAGAAUAUUAUGAUUUUGGUGUCAUGGGUCUCUUGAUGAUAUUAUAUAAAUCUUGUCGGAACUACUCAUAAAGUGUUGAGGUUUUGAUGUUAGAGAUAAUACCUUGAAUGAUUUAUGAGUAUAAUGGGAGUCUAUGCCUUGUAAAUUAAUUUGUUGAGAAACUUUGGAAGUGGAAUACAUUAUUUGUGAGGUUAAAUACUAGGCUUGCCUAAUUAAUUGCUUAGUUAGAAAUCUCUAAUUUAUAGCUAGAUGCAAUGUCAAGCUUUAUGCUUAUUGUGAUAGGUUUGCUUGGUAUUGUUUAGGUUCUAGCUAAUCUUAUUUGGAGCUUGGAAAAUUAUGCUUUUGCGGGUUGCAAAGCAACGAUUAUUUUGAGAGAGGUUUUUGUGGCUAGCAGUAGUUAGAAUAACUACAGAUGGAGGCUAAACUUUUGUGAUGGUGAUAUUUAGAUGAUGUACAUCCUAGAGUACGCUUGACUCAUUCUUUUGUAUCCAAUAGUAGUGGUAAUGACUUUAUUCCCAUUGAUGGGACAAGCUGAUGAUAUAUAAAUAUAUUUAUUCAAACCUUCUUUCUUUUGUGACCAAUGGUCCUUGUAAUUAUUGUAUAGAGCUCUGACUUACUUUGGGAGUAUCUUUAAUGAAAUUAUUUUGAAAGCUCA